Long non-coding RNA from Hippopotamus amphibius kiboko, 1214 nucleotides. RefSeq lists it as uncharacterized. Lineage: Eukaryota; Metazoa; Chordata; Mammalia; Artiodactyla; Hippopotamidae. The record is from RefSeq and is a predicted model, not a curated record. The transcript is spliced from 3 exons.
UCGGCCUGGGAGUGUAAAAAGAGGAAAGAAUCCCCCCAGCAUGUAAGAAUAUCCACAGGAAAAUCUGAAAUCCUGAGAGUAACAGAAAUUGGGUGCAUCUGUCUUCUAGCUAUGGUAUAGUCAAUUUCCAUACCUGAACUCAAGAAUUCUCUGAAGUACUGUGCUUUCUUUAUCUUCUUUUCAGUCUUUUCCAGGAGAGUUCCCAAAGAGGCUCUCAGUAGAUUACUGUAUUUGACCCAUGCUUAUGAAGCAUAAAUGCUAAACUUAGAAGAGACCCAAGAGACCCCCUGGUCCAACCUCCACAUUUUGUAGACGAGGAAACAGAUGCUCCACGUGGGAAAAGGACGUGCCUAAUAUCAGGAAUAUCCCUUGAAGAUAACAGAAAUGAGAGGCUGCUCUCACGUUGCUAUAAGAUAUGGAAUGAGCAGCAGGAUGAGAGGGCUCUUGGGCAGGCAGAGCUGGGAUCACCGAGGGGCAGGAAAAAGACGCAGCAAGUCAAAUGGAAAAAGAGGCUGGGCUUGAACCUGGGCCGGGGGAGGUCAUCUGGAGAACUGAUUGUUCUUUACGGAAGGAAGGAAGGCAACUGGAUCACGGAGCAGAAGAGGAGAGGAAGAAAUCGCACGUACGUGGAGAGCCUGCGUAGGACAGUUUUCUGCAUAAUACUGUGAUUGAUACAGAAAAUUCUGAUAGUCUGCCAAAGGCGAGGACGGAAUCAACGUACAGACUGUAUAACCGGUUCCCACACAGGAAAAAAUUUCCCCCGGUCCGUGCACGCACCCACACCUCACUUAGCAGAUUGUUUUAUAAGUCAUAACAAAGAAGGGCAGUUUUGCAGUCUCGGCUAUCUCAGACGUAUACCAAUUUGUUUUGCCAUUAAUCAGCAGUGUUCACGCUCUAUGGCAGAUGUAGAAUGUUUCUUUAAAAGGACCUCAAACCAGCUCUCUUUCAACCAACAGGAAGAUGGCUGCUCAGGUCUGUGAGAGUAAAGCAACUUCAAAACCUAGGUUUAGGGGCACAAACGCAACUAUUUCAAAAAAGAAAGAGGAAGAUAAAGAUAAUCCCUCCAUUACAACCUGCUAAGAAUGCUCAGAAAAUCAGAAGGACAUUUUUUUUUUUAAAGAAAACUAUAAUGAACGAUCGCCAAAAUCUCUUCACCUUUGAACCCUCAGAAAUCUGGAGAUUAUUCACAUCAGGCAGAGACGCGUCAAAGCUGG